Molecule: ribosomal RNA, 519 nt
Filed under: uncultured Gammaproteobacteria bacterium
Lineage: Bacteria; Pseudomonadati; Pseudomonadota; Gammaproteobacteria
Description: bacterial SSU rRNA
Rfam family: Bacterial small subunit ribosomal RNA
Source: RNAcentral
GAGUUUGAUCAUGGCUCAGAACGAACGCUGGCGGCAGGCUUAACACAUGCAAGUCGAGCGGUAACGCGGGAGCAAUCCUGGCGACGAGCGGCGAACGGGUGAGUAAUGCUUCGGAAUCUGCCCAAUAGUGGGGAAUAACUAGCCGAAAGGUUAGCUAAUACCGCAUACGACCUACGGGUGAAAGCAGGGGAUCGCAAGACCUUGCGCUGAUGGAUGAGCCGAAGUCGGAUUAGCUAGUUGGUAGGGUAACGGCCUACCAAGGCGACAAUCCGUAGCUGGUCUGAGAGGACGACCAGCCACACUGGGACUGAGACACGGCCCAGACUCCUACGGGAGGCAGCAGUGGGGAAUAUUGGACAAUGGGGGCAACCCUGAUCCAGCGACGCCGCGUGUGUGAAGAAGGCCUGCGGGUUGUAAAGCACUUUUAGUGGGGAUGAAAAGCCGAAGGCUAAUACCUUUCGGUCUUGACCUAACCACAGAAAAAGCACCGGCUAACGCUGUGCCAGCAGCCGCGGUAAG